ACUCCGUCUGCCAGGUCGAGAAGAGGCGGGAAAAGAGAAACGCCGAGAGAGGGAAGGAAGGAGAAGGAGAUGAAGGAGAGAGGGAAGGGGCGGGGAGAUCGGUGGACGAGAGGUACACGCAGUGGAAGUCGCUCGUCCCCGUCCUCUACGACUGGCUCGCCAACCACAACCUCGUCUGGCCCUCCCUCUCCUGCAGGGUUGAAGAAUGCUCAGGUUUAUGAUUAAGUAACCAAACAACAAUCUGACUGAGCUGCUUCGGUAUGCACCAGGCCGAUGAUUAAGCGCAUACCAACAUCAGUACUUUGGACUUAUUUCGCGUACAUGGCCAUCAAUAGUAUUCCCAGAAAUCAAUUAUGGGAAAGAUAGCUAUUUCUCUUCAUCACUCCCAGCCGCUGCUACAGGAUCCUGGAAGGGCUUCAUGCUUCUUAUGUGGAGUCCGUGCCUUUCAAAUAUAUAAUCGCAUUCACCAUUUUCAGUGUGUGCAUCUGUUGCUGUGUUUUGUAGUGACAAAAAUCCCGACUGCCGGAAUUCUAUUCCCUUACCGUUUUUUCUUCUCAUAGGCAUAAGGCAACAUGUAUUACCCAAGUUGUUCAAUGCUCAUAGGCAUAAGGCAACAUGUAUUACCCAAGUUGUUCAAUCCACAUCAUCUGCGAGAAUGAGAUGCGGCAGAGUAUGAAGAAGUCACUUGUACCCCCAUGAUUUUCCUUCGGGCUCUCUCAUCAGGAGAGAGAAACGUUACUUUCCGGGAUCGCAGAAGAUGGGGACGAAAAAUCGGAUGCUGAGAUUUCCGAUGAGCUGACAACCAGCAGAGGAGAGUUGAAGGUUAGGGGUGUGAGCUUCACUGAGGAUGGACGUAAUCAAUUGCAUCCAGAGGACACUAUCUAGAGUGAGAUUUCAUCACAAAAGAGAGAGCUAGCUCAAAUAAAGGUAGAGAGGGAAAGAAUGUUGUUGCGGAUUGACUUUAGACUAUUCGCAUCAGAAACAUUCUGCUAAGGAGGGAGCCGAGGGCAAUGACUGUUCUAAAGGGGAGGGAGAGACAGACCUUACUACGGCACUUGCCCUCCCCUGGCUUGGCAGGCAAAGUUGAUCUUAGUGCUAAUGAAAAUCUUCACUGUCAUCGUUCA
This is a long non-coding RNA of Eucalyptus grandis, 1124 nucleotides long. RefSeq lists it as uncharacterized. NCBI's taxonomy places the organism in Eukaryota, Viridiplantae, Streptophyta, Magnoliopsida, Myrtales, Myrtaceae. The transcript has 5 exons. The record is from RefSeq and is a predicted model, not a curated record.